AGCGACAGAAGAAAGCACCGGCUAACUCCGUGCCAGCAGCCGCGGUAAUACGGAGGGUGCGAGCGUUAAUCGGAAUUACUGGGCGUAAAGCGCAUGCAGGUGGUUUGUUAAGUUCAGAUGUGAAAGACCCGGGGCGUCAACCUCGGAAUAGCAUUUGUAAACUAGGCAGACUAGAGUACUGUAGAGGGGGGUAGGAAUUUCAGGUGUAGCGGUGAAAUAGCGUAGAGAUCUGAAGGAAUACCGGUGGCGAAGGCGGCCCCCUCGGACAGAUACUGACACUCAGAUGCGAAAGCGUGGGGAGCAAACAGGAUUAGAUCCCUGGUAG
This 325-nucleotide ribosomal RNA is filed under the name uncultured bacterium. Its description in RNAcentral is "bacterial SSU rRNA". It matches the Rfam family "Bacterial small subunit ribosomal RNA", at positions 476 to 793 of the family's 1533-position model. The record is from RNAcentral.